RNAcentral lists this ribosomal RNA (430 nucleotides) under uncultured bacterium. RNAcentral describes it as "bacterial SSU rRNA". It matches the Rfam family "Bacterial small subunit ribosomal RNA", at positions 355 to 786 of the family's 1533-position model. The record is from RNAcentral.
UGAGGAAUAUUGGUCAAUGGUCGGGAGACUGAACCAGCCAAGCCGCGUGAGGGAUGAAGGUGCUAAGCAUUGUAAACCUCUUUUGUCAGGGAACAAAGGCAUCCACGAGUGGGUGUGUGAGUGUACCUGAAGAAAAAGCAUCGGCUAACUCCGUGCCUGCAGCCGCGGUAAUACGGAGGAUGCGAGCGUUAUCCGGAUUUAUUGGGUUUAAAGGGUGCGUAGGCGGCCUGUUAAGUCAGCGGUAAAAGCCCGGGGCUCAACCCGCGAGCGUUGAACAUGGCUGGCUGGAGUUGGCGAGAGGUAUGCGGAAUGCGCGGUGUAGCGGUGAAAUGCUUAGAUAUCGCGCAGAACUCCGAUUGCGAAGGCAGCAUGCCGGCGCCACACUGACGCUGAGGCACGAAAGCGUGGGGAUCAAACAGGAUUAGAUACC